RNAcentral lists this ribosomal RNA (253 nucleotides) under uncultured bacterium. RNAcentral's name for it is "partial 16S ribosomal RNA". It matches the Rfam family "Bacterial small subunit ribosomal RNA", at positions 524 to 776 of the family's 1533-position model. The record is from RNAcentral.
UACGUAGGGAGCAAGCGUUGUCCGGAAUCAUUGGGCGUAAAGCGCGCGUAGGUGGCCUCAUAAGUCCGCUGUGAAAGUCAAAGGCUCAACCUUUGAAAGCCGGUGGAUACUGUGGGGCUAGAGUACGGAAGAGGCGAGUGGAAUUCCUGGUGUAGCGGUGGAAUGCGCAGAUAUCAGGAGGAACACCAAUUGCGAAGGCAGCUCGCUGGGACGUUACUGACGCUGAGACGCGAAAGCGUGGGGAGCAAACAGG